CCUACGGGAGGCAGCAGUGGGGAAUUUUGGACAAUGGGCGCAAGCCUGAUCCAGCAAUGCCGCGUGAGUGAAGAAGGCCUUCGGGUUGUAAAGCUCUUUUGUCAGGGAAGAAACGGUGAAGGCUAAUAUCCUUUGCUAAUGACGGUACCUGAAGAAUAAGCACCGGCUAACUACGUGCCAGCAGCCGCGGUAAUACGUAGGGUGCAAGCGUUAAUCGGAAUUACUGGGCGUAAAGCGUGCGCAGGCGGUUUUGUAAGUUUGUCGUGAAAUCCCCGGGCUCAACCUGGGAAUGGCGAUGAAGACUGCAAGGCUAGAAUCUGGCAGAGGGGGGUAGAAUUCCACGUGUAGCAGUGAAAUGCGUAGAGAUGUGGAGGAACACCGAUGGCGAAGGCAGCCCCCUGGGUCAAGAUUGACGCUCAUGCACGAAAGCGUGGGGAGCAAACAGGAUUAGAUACCCUGGUAGUCCACGCCCUAAACGAUGUCUACUAGUUGUCGGGUUUUAAUUAACUUGGUAACGCAGCUAACGCGUGAAGUAGACCGCCUGGGGGAGGUACGGUCGGCGAGAAGUUAAACUAACUUAAAGGAAAGUAGUUAGGACGUGAGACGNGCCGACGGACGACGACGAGGGGAGGAGGAG
RNAcentral lists this ribosomal RNA (637 nucleotides) under uncultured bacterium. RNAcentral describes it as "bacterial SSU rRNA". The stretch from base 1 to 542 matches the Rfam family "Bacterial small subunit ribosomal RNA", at positions 338 to 873 of the family's 1533-position model. The record is from RNAcentral.